GCCAUGGCCUCGGGAUUGGGGCCGGCCCCUUGGUAUGGGGAAGAGCAGGGUUCGAGUCCCUGCCAUGGCUCCA
RNAcentral lists this transfer RNA (73 nucleotides) under Brevundimonas phage vB_BgoS-Bajun. RNAcentral describes it as "tRNA-Thr". The record is from RNAcentral. Lineage: Duplodnaviria; Heunggongvirae; Uroviricota; Caudoviricetes.